GUGGGUUUUGAGUCAGCUGGGGCCUGUCAACCCUGUAUGGAAGAAUUUUCGUUGGCUGAGCAACAAAUGACUGCCCAUACUGUGUCUAAAAAUUUCUUCUAGUCCUGGUUGUUCGACUGGACCUGGGUUGCAGGCGAUCCACCUUCUCAGGACAGAACUUCAGCAGCAGCAGAAACACCAGCGUGAGCAAGAAACUCAUCAAAAACAACACUGACAUUAUCUACUCACCACACAAUGUGUCUCCAGGUUUGCAUUCAGAAUACGCAGAACUGGAAGUGGUAGCCAUCCUGCGCAGAGACAGAAUGUGGAUUUAAAAGGUUGGAGAUUUUUAAUAUUAACUACUUACUUGUUUACCAAAGUAUAGCGCUGUGUUUCAGGCUGAUUUCCAAAUAUGGAGAACAUUGAAACAAUGUAGAUUUGAAAUGUUCUAAGUCUUCUAUAGUGGCAGUAUGAAACAUCAUGCUGAAUUCUGGGUCAGCGUAACAUGAUCAGUGUUUCUAAUCAGCAUAAAAGGCUUAGGGUAGUUGAGACGCAUCUUUGUAAACAUCUUCAGUGUUCAUCAGUAUUUUUUCUUUUUUUCAGGAAAUAACCCCAGAAAGAAAAAAGGGGAUUUCACAUGUAAAUAUUUACUGUGUUCAUAAGUAAAUUAUGUGUGUGUACAUGAUGAGAGUAUCUUGUAAGUAUAAUCUCAAAGACGCUAUACUACACACUUGUGCUCCAUGUGCAAUAUGAGAUGACCUCAUUUGUGAACAAACAGUGAACACCCAGUCUCAUGGUUUCUAAAUGUCAGUACUAAUAUUUGCUAUACUUUGUGUGUGUUCAUGGCUGCAAUUGUCAGUUGUGUUGUGCUACUAGAUGAAUGUGCUCUUUGCCUAUAAGUGUGGCUAAAUGUGUUUUCAGACUGUGAAGUAAAAGGCUAAAGUAUUAGCUCCAUUUCUGACACAUACAGGAAUAUAUACGCCUUUUUAUUUGGAUUAUGAUCCUCAACCUGUUUGUCUACAUUUUUCGUUCUCAAAGACGACACAACAACACGUCAUAUACACAGAGGUACUUGGGGAAACCCACAUAAGAAAGUGAGAUGUAUUAUACAUAAAUAUCUUGACUUAGUAAAUUGUCCAGUACUUUUAUUCAGCAAAUAUUCAGUUGAUCAAAAGUGACAGUAAAGACAUUUAUAAUGUUAAAAAAAGAUUUAUAUUCCAAAUAAAUGCCAUUCCUUUCUAACUUUCUAUUCAUCAAAGAAUCUGGAAAAAAGUG
Molecule: long non-coding RNA, 1254 nt
Organism: Onychostoma macrolepis
Lineage: Eukaryota; Metazoa; Chordata; Actinopteri; Cypriniformes; Cyprinidae
Exons: 3
Source: RefSeq, a predicted model, not a curated record